GAUCCACUAGCUCAGUCGGCAGAGCACCUGCCUUUUAAGCAGGGUGUCCGCGGUUCGAAUCCGCGGUGGAUCACCA
Molecule: transfer RNA, 76 nt
Filed under: Oscillospiraceae bacterium
Lineage: Bacteria; Bacillati; Bacillota; Clostridia; Eubacteriales; Oscillospiraceae
Description: tRNA-Lys
Rfam family: tRNA
About the family: Transfer RNA (tRNA) molecules are approximately 80 nucleotides in length. Their secondary structure includes four short double-helical elements and three loops (D, anti-codon, and T loops).
Source: RNAcentral